This 1067-nucleotide long non-coding RNA is filed under the name Gopherus agassizii (Agassiz's desert tortoise). RNAcentral describes it as "lncRNA (ENSGAGG00000011792.1)". Lineage: Eukaryota; Metazoa; Chordata; Testudines; Testudinidae. The record is from RNAcentral.
AUGCUGGCGGAGUACAGGACAGUGGUGCAGGAGCUGAGACUGGAAACAAGCCAGCUUCAGGAGCAGCUGUGUCAAACCACCGAAGACCUGGCCAUGCUGCCGAAGGAGCUGCCCCACGAGCUUAAACCCCAUGUUCAGCUUCCCGCACAGCCACUCUGCGUGGAGAUAGAAGAGAUCCAGCAGGGACGAAAGGCUGAGGCCCGUCUGCCGAGCCCGCUGUGCGGGAUGUGGCCUGGCUCAGGAGCUCCUGUGUCGGCACAGCUGCUUGUGGGGAUGAGCCCCGUGGAUGUCAGGGCGGUGGCAGAGGAGCAGGAUGUGGGCGCGGCCAAUUGCACCCCAGCAUGGCUGGCUCAGCCGAGCGCCGCCGAGGAAGCCAAAGCCCUGGCUGAGCAGCAGCAGCGACUGAUGCCAGAGAUGCCGGAAAGCACAGAGGAGAGGAGAGACUGGCGCUGCCCUGCCAAGGAAGAGUUGUGUGCACAUGGCGCAGAGGAGCAGCUUAAACUCGCCACGGGGACCAGCGAAGAGCACAGCUGCUUAUUCUGUGUGGAGACCCAUGUGCUUCCUUGGCCGGAAGGGAAGGCAGCAAGGCCUAUCUGUCUGGAGGCCGGGCCCACAGACACUCUAUUGUCCAGCCCAGCAGAGAGGAGCCCUGUGGGAGGCCUGCCGCAAGGUGCACUCGUCCCCGUGCAGAACCAGCUGUCCCCUGUCAAACAGAAGCAGCCGCACAACUGCUGGCUUGAAACCUUAGCCCCAUGGUUUCGCUCGGGCCUGAUAUUCCUUCUGCAUCAGCCACAGCCCCACCUCCUUCCCAGCCGCCUGCUGCUGGCCCUGCUUGUGACACUCCUCCUGCUGCCAGCACUGUGCUAUCUGGUGCUGCCCAGCUGGACCAUGGCCACAGGGCUGCCGUGGCCACACCUCCAGCUGCGGUACCUCAGGCCCCCACCUGUGUGACCCCUUCCCACCCACAUGGGAAAGUGGCUCGUUGAGGGCCCGGGAAGGACCGUUUUAAGCUGCUGGGAGCAACUCUGACUUGAAGGCAAAUAAAGACAGUUUGGGCUGAUGACCCA